Molecule: ribosomal RNA, 495 nt
Filed under: uncultured bacterium
Lineage: Bacteria
Description: partial 16S ribosomal RNA
Rfam family: Bacterial small subunit ribosomal RNA
Source: RNAcentral
AUGAACGCUGGCGGCGUGCCUAAUACAUGCAAGUCGAGCGAACGGACGAGAAGCUUGCUUCUCUGAUGUUAGCGGCGGACGGGUGAGUAACACGUGGAUAACCUACCUAUAAGACUGGGAUAACUUCGGGAAACCGUAGCUAAUACCGGAUAAUAUUUUGAACCGCAUGGUUCAAAAGUGAAAGACGGUCUUGCUGUCACUUAUAGAUGGAUCCGCGCUGCAUUAGCUAGUUGGUAAGGUAACGGCUUACCAAGGCAACGAUGCAUAGCCGACCUGAGAGGGUGAUCGGCCACACUGGACCUGAGACACGGUCCAGACUCCUACGGGAGGCAGCAGUAGGGAAUCUUCCGCAAUGGGCGAAAGCCUGACGGAGCAACGCCGCGUGAGUGAUGAAGGUCUUCGGAUCGUAAAACUCUGUUAUUAGGGAAGAACAUAUGUGUAAGUAACUGUGCACAUCUUGACGGUACCUAAUCAGAAAGCCACGGCUAACUACGU